RNAcentral lists this ribosomal RNA (500 nucleotides) under uncultured bacterium. RNAcentral describes it as "bacterial SSU rRNA". It matches the Rfam family "Bacterial small subunit ribosomal RNA", at positions 1 to 496 of the family's 1533-position model. The record is from RNAcentral.
GCCCUUAGAGUUUGAUCCUGGCUCAGGAUGAACGCUAGCGACAGGCUUAACACAUGCAAGUCGAGGGGCAGCACAGGUAGCAAUACCGGGUGGCGACCGGCGCACGGGUGAGUAACGCGUAUGCAACUUACCUAUCAGAGGGGGAUAACCCGGCGAAAGUCGGACUAAUACCGCAUGAAGCAGGGGCCCCGCAUGGGGAUAUUUGCUAAAGAUUCAUCGCUGAUAGAUAGGCAUGCGUUCCAUUAGGCAGUUGGCGGGGUAACGGCCCACCAAACCGACGAUGGAUAGGGGUUCUGAGAGGAAGGUCCCCCACAUUGGUACUGAGACACGGACCAAACUCCUACGGGAGGCAGCAGUGAGGAAUAUUGGUCAAUGGCCGAGAGGCUGAACCAGCCAAGUCGCGUGAGGGAUGAAGGUUCUAUGGAUCGUAAACCUCUUUUAUAAGGGAAUAAAGUGCGGGACGUGUCCCGUUUGUAUGUACCUAUAAUAGAUGGUACUCG